AAAACAAGCAAAAAAACAAAAAAGAACCAAAAAAAGCCCCAAAACAAAUACAUGUCCUCAGUUCUUAUGACCCUGUUUGACCUCACCCUGUGGGGAAACCCAAGGAAAUGCAAGAAGCAAACUAUCAACACUCCCCUCUAUGGCUCCAGCCCAGCCAAGUGGGUGUCCACCCUCACCACACAAGAUGCCUGAUUAGGGCUGUGUGAUGAGAAAGGUGUGGCUCCUGAUGAGUCCUUGAGCAGCAGGAUGUUUGGAGGGCUGGCAGUGUGACACAGCCCUCCUGGCUGACUAGGCUUGGACAGAUCACUUCACCUCUCUGAACCUCCAUUCUGCAAAAUGGGCGCAGUAGCCUCUCCCUCACUGGGUG
RNAcentral lists this long non-coding RNA (367 nucleotides) under Homo sapiens (human). RNAcentral's name for it is "non-protein coding lnc-CXCR3-6:1". The record is from RNAcentral. Lineage: Eukaryota; Metazoa; Chordata; Mammalia; Primates; Hominidae.